GAGUUUGAUCCUGGCUCAGAACGAACGCUGGCGGCGUGCUUAACACAUGCAAGUCGAACGUGAUCCAGAGCUUGCUCUGGUGAAAGUGGCGCACGGGUGAGUAACGCGUGGAUAACCUGCCCUGGUAUCUGGGAUAACAUCUCGAAAGGGGUGCUAAUACCGGAUAAGCCUACGGGCUCUUCGGAGUCUGCAGGAAAAGGAGGCCUCUAUUUAUAAGCUUCCGUAUCAUGAUGGGUCCGCGUACCAUUAGCUAGUUGGUGGGGUAAUGGCCUACCAAGGCGACGAUGGUUAGCUGGUCUGAGAGGAUGAUCAGCCACACUGGAACUGAGACACGGUCCAGACUCCUACGGGAGGCAGCAGUGGGGAAUUUUGCGCAAUGGGGGAAACCCUGACGCAGCAACGCCGCGUGAGUGAUGAAGGCUUUCGGGUCGUAAAGCUCUGUCAGAGGGGAAGAAAUGAAACGUGCUAAUAUCACGUUUUCUUGACGGUACCCUCAAAGGAAGCMCCGGCUAACUCCGUGCCAGCAGCCGCGGUAAUACAASSSYUSYMWWWWMGURSSWMGMAYUAUUU
Molecule: ribosomal RNA, 570 nt
Filed under: uncultured Geobacteraceae bacterium
Lineage: Bacteria; Pseudomonadati; Thermodesulfobacteriota; Desulfuromonadia; Geobacterales; Geobacteraceae
Description: partial 16S ribosomal RNA
Rfam family: Bacterial small subunit ribosomal RNA
Source: RNAcentral